This 525-nucleotide long non-coding RNA is filed under the name Brassica napus (rape). Its description in RNAcentral is "long non-coding RNA (BNAP_LNC010710)". Lineage: Eukaryota; Viridiplantae; Streptophyta; Magnoliopsida; Brassicales; Brassicaceae. The record is from RNAcentral.
CCACGGUGGGCGCCAAUUGUUUAAGGUGAGUUUGGUCUCGGUGAAGUAAACAAUACUAAAAAUGGGUCGAACAGAGGCGUUUAUUAGAUUUCGAGAUGAUGUUACAAAGGUGGAGAAAGUAAAAGCAGGCCGGAGCUCGUGAGAGCUUAAACCGGAAAAGUACAAAUAGCAGAGAGAUGAUUGUACGGAUGAUAAACCCUAAUCUCGCCGCUAAGUUUGUGUAGCUCAGUGUUGAUCAUCUUUCUCCUUUGCUUUCCUCUCCUUUUAUACUCUGUUCGAUUACCUUAACCUAAUCUCUUUUUACUGAUUGGGCUUUGUCGGCCCUUCGGGCCUGAUUAUGAGGCGCUCGUUCCGAGCCGUUUAGUCGAUCAGCCUCGCUUCGCUUGCUCUCCGCUUCGACUAACGGCGCUUCCUGGUUAAGUUGAAGCCUCGAGAAUCGGCUUCUGCGCCGACGUCGACUCGGUUUGCUGGAUUGGGCCUUUUGUUCGAUGGGCUUUGUGGAUGGGUUAAAUCCAUCCCCAACAA